Molecule: RNA transcript, 10494 nt
Organism: Globicephala melas (long-finned pilot whale)
Lineage: Eukaryota; Metazoa; Chordata; Mammalia; Artiodactyla; Delphinidae
Source: RefSeq, a predicted model, not a curated record
CUAGGCGGGCGGGGAGGCUGGAGGAGAAGCUGCCUAACAGCCGGCCGAGGCGGCCCCCGCCCCAGGGGAGCCCGCCCUGCAGCCCGGGGCCGCGGCCGAGCGCAGCCCCGCCUGCGGCCUCGAGAGCGGAACCCGAGGACCCGGCGCGGCCAGAAGCUCUUCGGAGGAGCCAGCAUUAAGGCCGAGGGAGCGGCCGCGAGCCUCCCACUCCCACCGGACACUCCGCGACGGCAGUUAACACACCUGAACCCGUCCAUCCUCAACCUGUCAGUUGCACCGGGAAGCCUCCCCGCGGUCCCGCGCCCGUCCCCACCGCCCAGCCACGCAGUUCUGCAGUCACCACCUCAACGACCCGCUCCGAAACCCCACAGCCUCCUCUUGGUAGACUCGAGACACACACUGCCCGAGUCCACGCGGUCCUGCGCUCCCUUGCCGCACCCGCGCAGCGUCGUGCUCCAGGCGGCCGCGGCACCCUGGGGCCCUAAUACUCAGUCCUGCGUCUCCACCACCCCACACCCUUCCCCGGCAGUGGACCCGCAGCCUCCAGCUCGCCGUUUCCGCAGCCGUCUCCACGCCGAAUAUCCAGCUCCCACGGACGGUCCCACCGGGCGGCUCAGGCACACACACCCCCUCACCAGGUCUGAAACAGAAUUCAUCAUCGUCUUCCUCAAAACUGGCCUCGUGCAGACUUCCCCACAUUAGGUGAAUGGCACAGCCAUCCUGCCACCCUCCCCACCAAGAUGGAAGGCACCAACUGGGUAUCACACGCUGAUUUGAACAUCUAGCUGAUAACACGAGGGUGAGCGUAUCAGGAGAGACCUCUGCCUCAUCAGGGCUGGUCCAGUGAUCACGCGCGUUCCGACAGCGCUGGAAGAUGUGGAGGACGGCUACAGGGUACCACAAGAGAGCACGACAGGAUGGGUCCCAGAGGGCGUGGAAGGCUUCCCGGGGGCAGUACCUAAGCUGUUUCCUGAAGAACGAGCAGGACUUCACUAGCCCGAGCAAUCUGGAGCCUUGUCCAGUCUGGCCUCCAGGAGAGGAAGCAGCUGCUCUCAACACCAGUGCUGUGGAGGCCAGCAGCACUUCCUCCAAAUCCAGCUCACAACCAAGAGCCCAAAUCUCGUUCCACCCCAAGGGUCGGCACCACGCGACGCGGCCAUAACUGGGCGCACCCACCCCACAGGCCAGCGGCGAGCAAGGCCACGCUGGGCGAGGCAGGAAGGAGCCGGGUGACACGGCGACGGCAGGCACUUACUCUGUCGCACAGGUCGGAGCCCUCCGUCUUCAGCCUGGACUGCAGCAGCGCCACCUCAGAGGCCAAGGCCUUGUGCUCCGUUUCCAGGCUCUUCUUGCCACUGUUGAGGGUGGACACGUCCCGGGACUGUUUGUACCUAUUGACUGUCUCAUCAAAGUGACGGUAGAGACCUAGUCUCUUGUUGACCAGGGUCAAGACCUGCUCUGUGAUGCAGGCCACCUUCAUCCUGGCUUCUGCAGCCGGAUCCUGGGGGAGAGACACCGUGUGUGAUGACAUCCAGCCCUGAGCCCACUGCGACCUUCUCCUCCCAAGGAGCACCCACCACUAGCACACAAACGAGAAAAGCCACCAUCUUGGAAAGUCAGAGAAUCACACUCUUGCCGACACUGACCCUGGAACGGUUCAGCAAUGGGCAGGACAGGGGACAGGAAGAUGAAGCAGACGUUCACAUCCAAGUCCAGCAGGACAGACACACUGGUAUAAAAGGGAUGCUAAUGCCAGGGUGCACCGUGAGAGGGGUAUGAGGUGCUGAGGGAGGAGAAAUUCCAUCUCAGGCCGGGGAAGACUUCCAGGACGUGUUUCCAGGACCUAAAGGAUGAAGCCCAAGCUCCUUAGCCAGCCAAGGCCCUUCAGACGCAGCCCCAUGUACUCCCCAGAAUCCCUAACCAGUGGGCUACUGCAGAAGCCCUAACCGGGCAUGCUCAAAGGCUGACUCUGGCCUGCAGAAGGUCGAUUUGGCCCACAAUUAGUUUUUUUUUCCUCAGUAAAUUAUCAAAGCUUUAAAAUAGAGAUGUAUACACAGGAAAUCAGUUGAAUAAACUAUGACUUAUCCAUACAAGAGAGUCCUCUGCAGCUAUAAAAAAAUAACAAGGAAGAAAGCUCUCUAUGAACUGAUAUGAGUGAUUUUCAGGAUACGUUAGUUAAGUGAGAAAAGCAGUGAAAAAUAGGUAUGCUGUUGCUACCUUUUGUGUACAAAAGAAGAAAAUAAGAAUUAAAUAUCUGCCUAUUUUUGCAAAAUAAACAAAUCAGAAAGGCUACCUAGGGGACUGAUGAAAUUGUUCCCUACAAGGCAGGGUGGGACAGGGUGGAGGAAACCACACCAUUUUCAAGUUCUCAAUUUAGAACUUUGUUAGUGUUUUACGGUAUCACAGCCAACAUUAAAUAUUACCAAUGAUGGAGGAAGAAACCAGAAUAAAAUUCAAGCAUCAAUGAACCUAAUACCUUUCAAAUGAGUAACCAGGGAAAGAAGAACAGAGCAACUACCUUGGGAUCACAGACUCUGACACUAUGGUCUCAAUCUAAAGACAAAAAGAGGGCUUCCCUAGUGGCACAGUGGUUGAGAAUCCGCCUGCCAAUGCAGGGGACAUGGGUUCGAUCCCCGAUACCGGAAGAUCCCGCAUGCCACGGAGCAACUAAGCCCGUGCACCACAACUACUGAGCCCACACUCUAGAGCCUGCGAGCCACAACGACUGAUCCCGUGUGCCACAACUACUGAAGCCCAGGAGCCUCGAGCCCGUGCUCCACAACAAGAGAAACCACCGCAACGAGAAGCCCACGCACCGCAACGAAGAGUAGCCCCCGCUCGCCGCAACUAGAGAAAGCCUGGACGCAGCAACGAAGACCCAAUGCAGCCAAAAAUAAAUAAAUAAAUAAAUUUAUUUUAAAAAAUAAAGACAAAAAGAACUGCCAAGAAACCUGGCGCUCUACUGGCAGGUUUGGUGUUUGUAGUGGUAUGAGUGCAGCAACUGUGGAACUGUUUUGUUUUGUUUAUAGACUUCAGCAAAUAAACAAACACACUGAUGUUGGGAUCCAGGCAAAGAACCCUGUGGGGUUAGACUGGAAUAACUCAUAUUUCAAAUACCACAUGUAUUUAUCUCCCGGCUCUGUCUGCUGAAAGGGCUGAGGAGCAGAGAUGCUCCAAGAGCAGUGAUCACAACCAGCUCCCAGAUCAUGGUCUCCAGGUACCAUUCUGCACUGCAAGGAACCGGAGCUCCUCGGAGAAAGUACAAGAUAUGCCGGAAACGUACUGCUGCACGCUACAAUAAGGAAGUGCACAAAAAUACGAUGUAGACGGAAAGACAGUCAAACCUGGGACACUUGAGCAUCAAAAGGAACGGCACAGUGGACAGUAAUCCAGUAAAAUAACACAUGAAUCCAAACGAAUAAUGAACCAACCAACCAACAAGAAAAGCUUUUCCUUAUAGUAGAAAACCACCUAGUAAGGUAAAAGGCACCAUAGUUUUUCAGCCACCACAACUAUCAGAUUCAGAUAAGAAUUAGUAAUAAAUACUGUAACUAAUGGGUGAAUAUAUAUGAUAUUUAUGUAGCCUCAAACAGAUUAUGUAUUAAUUGCAAAGAAAAAUAGUAACAUUACAGUGAAUAAACCAAGAAAGGCACCAACUCAACCAAGGAGAGUCAGUAUCACCAACCCCGGACCAAAUGACAUCAGGUACCUCCCGACGUGAUGCACUGCAGACACAGCACCACUUCAUAAUGUUCUUGCCAAAAAUGCAUAAUCUGCAUUUUCAAGGAGAAACAUAAGAAACCUAACGUACACACAAGGCCGAGGAAUGUCCCAGAUUAAAGCAGACUAAGGAAAUAUGACAACUAAAUGCAAUGCAUCAUCAACUGAAUUCUGAAGUAUGAAAAAGAAUGGCUAUAGAAGUUACCCUUGGGGCGAUCAGCAAAAUUUGAGCCUGGACUGGGUGCUGGUUGUUAUUAGAGCAACGUCACAUUCCGGACUUUGAGCAUCGUGCUCUGGCUCUAUGAAACGGGGCCCUUGGGGUCAGGCUGUGCACACGCCUAAGUAUUCAAGGGAGGCGGGCAACUUAAACGGCUCAGGAAGAGUACAUACGACAGGCCAAAUGUUAACCACUCCGUCCAGGUGAAGAGUGCACAAGAGUUCGUUUUACUAUUCUUGUAAAAUGUCUAAAUGCAGAAAUAUUUUAAAACUCGGGAUUUUUAAAAUUAAUAUAGCUUAGGAAAUGGGGAUAUGUCACAGUAAAACCUAGACUCAGCCCUUCUGCGUGACAAGGUGAGCAGCUGCCCUGGUGGCACCCCUACCCCAGGGCAGCCUCGCUGGUCUACGGAACCAGCCAGACCAACGUCCUUGCUCAUUCGUACCAACUGCCACCCACAGGCCCCAGCAAAAGCCUGCCAUGCUGUCCCACAAGCUGCUCCCUGAGGCAAAGGCCCCGCCCCACCUCUUCUGCCAGUCACUUCCCCGCGAGCCUUUCUGGGCACACGCUCUGCCCACUGCCUCUCCCCACGGAACUGGCCGCCAGCAGCAACCUGUCUCCUUCAACAGUGCAUGUCCGUGACCACAGCAACAAAAGGAGGGGUCUCUAGGGUAACGGUCAGCUGAGGCCACGAGCAGGCAGAGGUGUAUGUCGCGCGGCCGGGCGCUGGGAAAGCGAGUCAAGCACGCACUGCAGACGGCCGAGUUGGGUACCUUUGUGAUGGAGAAGUCCAGCCUGACGUAGACGAUGACGGUGAAGAACAGGACGUAGAAGGCAGCCACCACCAGCAGGGGCUCCUGCAGCAUGAGCACCUUGUUGAAGGUGUAGUGUACCUGGGGGGAGCCAGGAACACAUGCUGACACACGGGUCCACCCGGACUCAGAAACCUGGGGGCGAAGGGGCCUCGCCAGGCCUACAACUGUCCGGGCUGCCCCCGCCAUGUGCCCCACCCCCGCCCCCAGAGGCGGCUGUGCCCAAACCACUCCAGGCAAGGAGGAGAGGAUGGCAAGUCCCUGACCCUGCAGCCACUGUCCAGGGAGGAGGCCUGGGAGGCAGGGCUGUGGAGCGCAUACCACCAUGUCCUGAAUGUGCUGCUCCACCAGGUUUUUCUUGUGGGCCACGAUCACGGGGCGGCCAAACGUGUCCAGGUAGGUGUAGUGCAGCUCAUCAGGGGCUCGGCUGAUCUCAUAGGGACUGUCCACUUGGAUGUUUCUAGAUGCCAAUGGGAGGAAACUGAGCCUCACACAAACUGCACUGACCAACUAGGUUCCCAGUGAGGAUCCAAGGCCCAAGGGGUCUUCCAGGGUCACGAGUUCUACUCCACUCUCCUCCCCUCCCAUCACAGGGAACACCCAACCCCCUGAGACCGCGGACCCACUGUCAGAAAGCCCUGAGCAUGAGAAUGUUUUGUCGCCCAUGCCAAGGGCAGGGGGCCCUGUGAGUGUCAGCUGGUUUCUGCCAAGUGGACCCUAGAGACGCUGUGGCUCUGUCCUUUCCCAAGCCUGGUUCUUCACCUUAGGCCAACAUUUGAUGAGAUCCCUUACCCUUCCAGAUUCCUUCCUUUCUGCUUAAACUGGCCAAAGACAGCUCCCUCUGUUUAUAACCAUGGAACCUGAUAUACCAUCUGAGACCACCCUCCCCCCCACCUUCUGAACCUGGUGUGACACGCCCAGGACAAGACAAAGCCCUCUCCACUAUCCCUCCCCUUCCUAGGAGCACAGCCCAAGGCCACCCAGCUGCCUCAACUUUGCAGUUCUUUCCUUUUGCCAGUCACCUCAUCGGACUCAGGCCAUCACUCUGGCCUGCUAUGAAUCCCGCCCCUGUCACAGAAAGGGCUGUGUUGGGAUAGCUCAUAAGUGCAUCUUGUGCCCUCACUGAGUCAAAUGUCUCAGUUUAAACUCCACCAGAAGCCCCUCCUCUGCGCCCUAGAACCCAACGUCCCACUGAGGUGCCAAGAGGGCACCACCAGGAAGGGAGACAGGAAGGGAGGUCAGACUCACUUGGCCCCUUCUGGCAGGAUGAUUUUCACAGUCAGAGAGUCUAUCACUUGUUCAUCAAACACGUGGUCCACAAGCCUCAUCUUCAAUGCAUACUGGUCUCCUGGAGGGUCAAGCAGACAUAGCUGUGACUGGUUUUGUGCGUGUCUUUCUCCUAAGUAAAGUACUAGAAUCUAGGCCCUGAACGUCACAAAAGGAGACACCAGCCACCACCGACUGUGUGCCUUCAAUGAAAGAACACAUCAGCUGAGUCUUGCUGAAAGGAUCGACCUGAGUCUGAUCAGGCUCCAGAGACAGCUGUGCUAGACAGCUGGGCUAGAAAUACGGAAGACAGAGGAAUGUGCUGCCCUGCACUCUGACCCGCAAUCAGCAAAAUCCAGACCAUGGGCUACACUACAAAUAAGGUCAACUUCUUCAACAGCUAAACCAUGAGGAAAACAGAUGGAGGAGGAAACUGUGGAUUACUAGAGGCUGACAAGACAAAUCAACUUUUUUGAAAAACGCAGAACUGGAGUAUCUAGAGACAUACAAGUGGGUGAUAGAACGAUGAAGAAAUUCAAGAGAGUGUCUCCCAAAAGCCAGGACGGUGAUCGCUGUUGUGGGGAAAAGAGGAGGUACGUGAGGGCCUUCUGAGCGGCUGGCCAAUUCCACUUCCUUGACCUGAGUGAUGGUUACAAGGUGCUCCUCUUAUAAUUUACCGAACUUUACAUUUGUAUGAUUUACUAGAUUUUAUUUUGCAUUAAAAAGGUUUUAAAAAGAAAGACUUGGAAAUAUGACAAAAUGUUUAUAAUCAAUAGUUCUGGGUGCUUGUGUAAAAAUGUUUAUUAUUCUCUGAAUUUUUUAUUUUUUAAAUAUUUCAAAUUUAAAGAAUUUAAGCAGUUCCUUCUUAUGCUAGAACUGGGGGUAAGAAGCAGCUUUUUACUGUCCUAUGUGAAUUGAUUACCAUACGCAGGUAUCAUUUUUACAACAGUAAUUUUUACUCACCCAUGAAAAGUUGUUGCUGAUAUCCCAGCCUUCCUAAGAAUGACAAGAGAAUACCCUCUCCCCAUCUAAAAGGACUGGCAAUUAUCUCACACACACACACACACACACACACACACACACACACACACGACACAACACAAAACAAACCCACAGGAAAUUAAAGAAAAAGACAGUCUUCCCCUUUUCAACUCCCCAACAAUUGAAAACUGACCCAAAUUAUAGAGGUACUCAUAGCUUGGGAGGUUGUAGCCGACGAUGUAAUGGGUCUUCCACCCGCCGAAAAGAGGAAAGCGAGGCCGGAUUUCCAUCUCUACGGAGUCAUCCAAAAUAAGAAGGUGGCUGGUGGAAACAUUGCCAAUCUCAUCCCGAUAAUAAACAUCCUGUGCAGCAGCAGGAAGGAUGGUCUGCAAGAGAGUGAGCAUGCCUUCUGAAGACUCCAGAAACCGACGCAGAGGAAGUGAUCCUAAGUCCAGAAGAGACUUCCUGCACCAAGCUCUUCACCACAUCACUGCUUAAUAGUCUCCAAACUGUGAACAACCUGAGCAAAGUCUAACUUCCCCCCAAAGGCUCCAGAAUAUCUAGAUACCUCAUCUGCUUCUCAAUCAGCGUCAGUAAAUAGCCAAACUCUUCUAAACAGUAAGUAACAGACUCAUAAAUACCUUUGCAGAUGCUAAAGACUUAAUACAAAGGUAAAAAUAAUCUAAGUUAUUUUGCAGGCGAGCAAACUAAAGACGGAGGAAAUCACAUGAAAUCGCUAGGUGGUUUAUGGUUUACUUAUGAAAGGGGUUUCUCCACCUAAUAUUUUUAACUAAUUUUUUAAAAUCUUUACUUAUUUUUAAUUAUUUAUUUCCAAAUCUGUAAGCAAAUUUUGAUAAUUGAGAGGAAAAUGUAAUGCCUCUGUUUGCACAGUGAGCGCUUCUGUAAUACUUAAGUACGUGAAAAUGCUUCUAGGAUUUCAUUUAUAAGACAGAAAAAGAUACAAAACUGUAUAUGCAAACUGUAUAUGCAAUAUGAUCAAAUGUUUUUUAAACACAGCAUUAUAAAAGAAAAAGGAAAUAUAUAAAAGUGUGUCAGAAAGCCUAGUGCCUGGGUUUGUUUUUCCUUUUUCCAUUAUUCAAAUUUUCUUUAAAAAACAUGACCUACUUAUAUAAAUGGGGGCUUUUUUUUUUGGCCUUGAUGCUAGUUCCCCAACCAGGGAUUGAACCUGGGCCACAGCAGUGAAAAUGCCAAGUUCUAACCACUGGGCCGACAGGGAACUCCUGGAGGCAAUUUUUUUUUUUUAACAUUCUGUUGGUUCUAACACCGUCACUCAACUACCUGAACACCAGUCAAUCCCAACGACUGUCCAUAAUUAGCUACUUUCAAAAAGCAAAAGAAAGGACAGAUGUGAUAGUCAUACUUUCCCCAAUGUCCAAGUCCAACAGUCCAUACCUUAAAAGAACGGAUGGAGGAGACUCCACUAUCUGGCUGUCUCUGGUAAUCAUAGCGCGAAAAAGGCCCCUUCAGCACAGCCCCUGUGUGCUUCAGGUCCACGUUUUCCUCCACAGCAAUGUUACCCCAGUGGGAGACCUCGAUGACUCGGGUCAUGCUGGUGAUGGUCAGGAAAGGGCUGUUGUUCUCAGAAUGUACUUUAAAAGUGUCCUGGAGAGGAAGGAAACAAGCAGCUCAAAGUUUGGUGACAGAGGAAUCAACACUAACUUAAAGCAAAUUGAUUGGAAACAAUUAGUACCAGGACGGUUAAACUGUGACACAUCUAAUGUAUGCAACAGAAUGGUUAAAUUGUGCUGUCUCUAACGUAACGACAUGGAAAUAUUCACGAUAUAUUAUUAAUUGGAAAGACAGAAUACACAAAGCUGUUUUAGGUUCCAACAUAAACAUCAUUUGUUUUACAAACAAAAUUGUCUAUACUUAUUAUUUUAUAGCGACUAUGUGAGAAAAAGAGAACAGAACCUGAACUGAGAUACAUGAGAAUCUCAACACAGAUAGGAAACAGAAUUACAGAUUAUUUCUACUUUCUCCUUGUAGUUUUUAUUUUCCAAAUUUCUGCAAAUGAGCUUUUUAAAUUGAUUUUUUAAAGCAAUUUUUACAGUUUUAAAAUAAAAUAAAAUCUUAAGCUGUAAAUAAAGAAAAACUGUAACUAGGAAAUAAAUAUAAGAUCUAACAGAGAAGACAUAACCUCUCACCAGUGAGCUAACAAAUAACUCAUAACUGAGGGAGACACGUAGCAUUACUGGAUUGUUCUAACCUGAAGAAAAGUCAUCUAGAAAAGUUCACAGAAGAGACUUUUUAAGAUAACGUUUAUGGAGUUGACAUGUAUGUAUGUAUCAGGCACUCUUUAUGAGCUCUGAAUAAGCACAUAAUUUCAUUUAAUCCUCAAAACAUCACAACGAAGUAAUUACUACUUAUCCCCAAUUUUACAAAUAAAAAACCCAGAGGCCCAGCAGUUAGUAUUAAGAAAUCUUUCUGGUCACAGAUACAGAUUGGUGGUUGCCAGAGGCAUGGGUGGGAGAAAUGGGUGAACUGUUUUGUUUCUUUUUAAUUUAAAUAAACUGAAUAACAAAAUUUUUUAAAAGUAAAAUUACAAAAAGACCAGAAAAACAUCAAAUUAAAAAGCUUUUGUACAGCUAAGGAAACUACCAACAAAACGAAAAGGUUGCCUACUGAAUGGAAGAAGAUAUUUGCAAAUGAUACAGCCAAUAGGGGAUUAACAUCCAAACUGUACAAAGAACUCCUACAACCUGACAUCAAAAAACAAAGGACCCAAUUUACAAAUGGGCAGAGGAUCUGAACAGACAUUUUUCCAAGGAAGAUAUUCAGAGAGCCAACAGACAAAUGAGAAGAUGCUCAACAUCACGCAUCAUCAGGCAAAGGCAAAUCAAAACCACAAUGAGGUACUAUCACUUCACGUCUGUCAGAACGGCUAUCAUCAAAAGAUAAUAAAUAACAAGUGUUAGUGAGGAUGUAGAGAAAAAGGAAACCUCAUGCACUGUUGCUGGGAAUGUAAACUGGGGCAGCCACAACAGAAAACAGUAUGGAGAUUCCUUAAAAAAUUAAAAAAACAACUACCAUAUGACCCAGCAAUUCUACUCCUGGGUAUUUAUCCAAACAAAAUGAAAAACACUCAUUAGAAAAGUUAUAUGCACCUCAAAGUUCAUAGCAGCAUCAUUUACAACAGCCAAGAUACAGAAGCAACCUAAGUGCCCAUCAAUAGAUGAAUGGAUAAAGAAGAUGUGAGAUACACACACACACACACACACACACACACACACACAGUGGAACACUACUCAGUCAUAAAAAAGAAUGGAAUCUUGCCAUUUGUGACAACAUGGAUGGAUCUAGAGGGUACUAUGCUAAAUGAAGUAAAUCAGAAAAAGACAAAUACUGUAUGAUUUCACUUAUAUGUGGAAUCUAGAAAACAAAUGAACAAAAUAGAAACAGAGUUACAGAUAUAGAGAACAAACAGGUGGUUGCCAGAGGGGAGAGGGGGGUCAGGGAGGGAGAGAAAUAGGUGAGGCACAU